This 72-nucleotide transfer RNA is filed under the name Chryseobacterium arachidis. RNAcentral's name for it is "tRNA-Gly". It matches the Rfam family "tRNA". Rfam says of the family: Transfer RNA (tRNA) molecules are approximately 80 nucleotides in length. Lineage: Bacteria; Pseudomonadati; Bacteroidota; Flavobacteriia; Flavobacteriales; Weeksellaceae. The record is from RNAcentral.
GAAACGGUAGCUCAAUGGAAGAGCAUUAGCCUGCCACGCUAAGGGUUGCGGGUUCGAAUCCUGUCCGUUUCA